CAGUCGCCGCGGUAAUACGGAGGGUGCAAGCGUUAUCCGGAUUUAUUGGGUUUAAAGGGUCCGUAGGCGGAUCUGUAAGUCAGUGGUGAAAUCUCACAGCUUAACUGUGAAACUGCCAUUGAUACUGCAGGUCUUGAGUAAAUUUGAAGUGGCUGGAAUAAGUAGUGUAGCGGUGAAAUGCAUAGAUAUUACUUAGAACACCAAUUGCGAAGGCAGGUCACUAAGAUUUAACUGACGCUGAUGGACGAAAGCGUGGGGAGCGAACAGGAUUAGAUACCCCCGUAUCCCUGUCUCUUAUACA
Molecule: ribosomal RNA, 301 nt
Filed under: uncultured bacterium
Lineage: Bacteria
Description: partial 16S ribosomal RNA
Rfam family: Bacterial small subunit ribosomal RNA
Source: RNAcentral